This 4039-nucleotide long non-coding RNA is filed under the name Canis lupus familiaris (dog). RNAcentral's name for it is "lncRNA (ENSCAFG00030019955.1)". The record is from RNAcentral. Lineage: Eukaryota; Metazoa; Chordata; Mammalia; Carnivora; Canidae.
UCCCGAGAAGCUGGCACAAGCGCGCUCAAGCCCGCGGCGCUCCUGACGGCCGGUGCUCCGGAAAAGAGGCCAGACUGCAGGCCGCGGCUCGCGGCUCCCGGCUCCCGGCUCCCGGCGCCCGGCGCCCCGCCAGGCGGAGCCCACCGCGGGCAGCAAGGCGACCGCGCGGGGGGGCGGGGCCACGCCUUCCGGGCCACGCCUUCCGGGGCCGGCCCCGCCCCCGGAGCGUGCGCGCGCCCGCCGCCGCCUCGCGCGUGCGCCGCCGGCUGGGGGCGGAGGUUGUGGGCGGCGGCGGCGGGCGCGCGCGCUCUCGCCCCCUCGCGCCGGUUCGCGCUCCCGCGCCGGGCUGAGGCGGCGGCGGCGGCGGCGGCGGCGGCGGCGGCGCGGGGGGAGGGCCGGGAGGGGGGGUGGUUGGGGGGGAUGGACCGGGCGCGGCGGCCGCAGCGGCAGGAGCCGGCGCUUGAGCUCGAGCCACGGCGCUGGCGGAGACGCCGGCUGCUCCUCCCCUCCCCGCCGGAAGGGAAGACGAGGCUCGGCGAGUUGCACCUUCUCUAAAGGACCAGACAUCCGUUUAUAGCUUUGCAAACCCCCGCUUUUUUUUUUUUUUUUUUCCUUCCUUCCUUCUCCAUCCUGAGCAAAGGUGUGUGUAAGUGUGGGUUUGGCUCAUCCCUUGACAACGUUGAUGGUGAAUCUGCAGCAGAGUUUCUUGAAGCAGCCCACUUGAGCUGUUGGCCGAUUUCCCCUUUUUCUUGGGUGACACCCUCCGUGUGUAUCUUGGUAGAUUCUAGUCAAAGCUUUUACCGGCUGCCUUUGCAUCCUCACUGUCACAGAGGAAGAGAAGAUGAAAACACACACUAAUCCAAAAUGGUUGCUCCAAGUCUUUAAAUACACAGAAGCAUCUGUAGAAAAGGUCUGAAUUCCUAAAUUAGUCCAUUCUUAAAAAAAAAAAAAAAAAAAAAAUUCAGGGGUUAAAAAGUAGGUAGCUGCUUUAGGAUAAAACUUUGCUAUGUUUAUGUCUUCUGACCCAGUAUGUUAAAUUUUGGGAGUGAUCUGUUCAACCACAUCCUUGUCUUUGAAGUACCUGUGUAUAGAAAUUGUUCCAAAGCCUGGAGGAAGGAACCUUAUGAAGAUGUUCAUGUGUUAAUGACAGGAUACUUCCAGGGACUAGAUUUUUUUUCUUUUUCUUUUUCUUCUCCAUUUGUAGAUUAGAACAGUGAGACUGGAAUUGUGAGUAGGUGGUAGUUUUACUAGUGUCCUGUAACAAACCAUGCUUCUAGGUGGGACUUUUAACUAUAUCUUAUCCUCUACCAACAGAGUUGGCUUGUAUUUUUUUUUUUUUUUUUUUUGAAAUCACACACCCACUCUCUGGCUAGUAAAAAAAGAUUAAAAAGCUGCUUCUGGUCUGUGGGCGGUAACCUUUUAAUUUCUAAAGAGUUUUCAGUUGCUUACAGAAUAGUUUGCUAAUCAGUAUAAGGGAAAAUUUAGAUAUUAAAAUUUCAUUAGAUCUGUUAUGAUUAUGAACAUUAAGAUUUGUCAUGAUGUGGAUGCUGUGUACCAUGUAUAGGAAAUGAGAUUUCUCAGGGUAUUUGCAUCUUAAGAUAAACAAAAGUGCAGUCAGCUGGCAGACAGAAUGUUCUUAAGCCUUCCAGUGGUUGAAAACACCUUUUAUGAGCACAAAAACACUUUUACGGUUUGAUGAAGAAACCUGGACUAGUUGGUGACCACCAUUUCUUUAAGCUGUUUGCUCCUUCUCCCUACUAGAAUAUUUCCCCUUUUUCUGCAAGAGUUGUUAUGCCUGUAGUAUAUGUACAAAACCUAUAAUGGCUGAAAACUUAAGUUUAAAUUCCUCAGAACGAUAUUUAUUUUUAUUUAUUUAUUUGUUUAUUUUUAAGAUUUUAUUUAUUCAUUCGUGAGAGACACACAGAGAGAGGCAGAGACACAGACGGAGAAGCAGGCUGCAUGCAAGGAGCCCAGUGUGGGACUCAAUCCUGGGACCCUGGGAGCACGACCUGAGCCAAAGGCAGAUGCUCAACUGCUUAGCCACCCAGGCAUCCCUCAGAAUGAUAUUUAUUGAUCACUCAUUUAUUUAUUCAUCAAAUAUUUAUUUUAAAAAAUAUUUUAUUUAUUCAUUCAUGAGAGACACACAGGCAGAGAUGUAGAAGGAGAAGCAGGCUUCCUGUGGGGAGCCUGAUGUGGGACUCGAUCCUAGGAUCCUGGACCAUGACCUGAGCCAAAGACAGACCUCAACCAACUGAGCCACCCUAGCACCCCUCAAAUAUUUAUUGAGUCCUUAUUUUGUUCCAGGAGUUUUUCUCAGUACUGGACUAUGGUGGGGGACAAAAUAGAUAAGGUCCUUGUAUUGAGCUUUUUUUCUCUGUGAGAAUAAGGAUAGCAGUUAAACAUAUAAGAUAAUUUCAGGUAAUGCUGUAAGUCAGCAGUUAGCAAACUUUUUCUGUAAAAAAUCAGAAAGUAAAUAUUUUAGGCUUUAUGGGCCAUACAGUUUCUGUUGCAGCUGCUCUGUUUUAGUGUAAGGUAGCCACAGGCAGUACAUAAACAAGUGUUUCUAUGUUCUAGUUAAACUUUUGCAUUUCCUAUCAUUUUCCCACGUCACAAAAUAUUGUUUUUCUUAAUUCUUUUUUUGGCUAUACUAAAACAUGGGAGAAGCUGGAUUUGGCCUGUAGGCUGUAAUCUAGCCCUUUAGAGAAAAAGUUUGAUGGGAUGCUUGGGUGGGUCAGUGGUUGAGCCUUUGGCUUCAGGGCACAAUCCCCGGGCCCUGAGAUCAAAUCCCGCAUCGGGCUCCCUGCAGGGAGCCUGCUUCUCCCUCUGCCAAUGUCUCUAUGUCUCUCAUGAAUCAAUCAAUAAAAUCUUUUUUUUUUUUUUUAAAGAUUUUAUUGAUUGAUUCACGAGAGACACAGAUUGAGAGAGAGAGAGAGAGAGCGCACGCCUGACGUGGCACUCGAUCCCAGGUCUCCAGGAUCAGGCCCUAGGCUGAAAGCGGUGCUAAACCGCUGAGCCACCUGGGCUGCCCCAGAUAAAUAAAAUCUUAAAAAAAGUUUGCUGAUUCCUGAUAUCUGCUAUGAAGAAAAUAAGACAAGAUGAUGUGAUAAGUGAGUGGUGGGGAUGGUAGAGAGGCCUCACUAGGGAGAAGAUAUUUGAGUUGUGUCCUAAAAGAUGGAAAAACUUUGCUGGCAAAUGAAACAGCAGGUACAAAAAUCUGCAGGUGGAAAUGGGCUACUCCUAUGUUCCCCAGCAUUGAACUUCACGUACCAUGUCAUUCUUGGCUUUGUGUCUCUUUUCAUUUUGUUCUUAACUAGGUUGCCUUCUUCCUGUCAGGUUUUAAAAGUCUACCCAGGGCAGCCCCGGUGACGCAGCGGUUUGGUGCCGCCUGCAGCCCAGGGUGUGAUCCUGGAGACCCGGGAUCGAGUCCCACGUCGGGCUCCCUGCGUGGAGCCUGCUUCUCCCUCUGCCUGUGUCUCUGCCUCUCUGUGUGUGUGUGUGUCUCUCAUGAAUAAAUAAAUGAAAUCUUAAAAAAAAAAAAAAAAGUCUACCCAUAAUUCAUCUAAGACUUGGAAGGGAUCUUAGCUUUCUACCCAAUUGCUCUCUUCUAAAAUGUUCUCAGUGAUUUUUCAGCUUCUGUUUGAAAGCUUUGAUGACAGUAAAUUCAUUACUUUGAGGUGGCCUAUACCAAUUUUAGAUAGCUCUAAUUGUUAGAGUAUUCUUCUUCAAAUUCUAAUAGGAUUCACACUUUCUCCCUUUUCCCCCUGAUGCUGCUUUACAGUGACCAUGGAGUAAACUGCAGUGGGGUUGCACCUCAUUUCCAGGAUUCAGUUCUAAAGUCAGCACUUGAAACAAAAAUCCCAUAAAAUGAAAACUAUUCUUGAAAAAUCCCUUAAAUUGCGGGGCACCUGGGUGGCUUGGCCGGUUAAGCAUCUGACUUUUCAACUCAGCUCAGGUCUUGAUCUCAAGGUGAGUUUAAGCCUGGCUGGUGUUGGCUGGUGUUGUUUGUUUGUUUUUAAAAGAUUUAUUUACUUAUUCAUGA